Non-coding RNA from Parabacteroides sp., 400 nucleotides. It matches the Rfam family "transfer-messenger RNA". From Rfam's summary of the family: Bacterial tmRNA, also known as 10Sa RNA or SsrA, is named for its dual tRNA and mRNA-like properties. Its role is to liberate the mRNA from a stalled ribosome. The record is from Rfam. Lineage: Bacteria; Pseudomonadati; Bacteroidota; Bacteroidia; Bacteroidales; Tannerellaceae.
GGGGCUGACUGGCUUUGACAGCGUGUAGAGGUGGUGUGUAAGCAUGCAGAGCGAUGAUGCCCACGCUCUUUAAUCAGAGACAUCAAAAAUUUAAAUGGCGAAAACAACUACGCUCUCGCUGCCUAAUUGAAGUAUAGUAGAUUAGCUUUAUCCCCGCAACAGUUGCGGAGGACGAGACAUCGCCCGAUUGUCCUUUUUCCGAGACGGAUCGACAUGGCGGUGCAGUUAAAUCGGGAAUAGGCGAUGGCCUGCCUUGAGCCGGCGCUGAAAUCUUAAAGGCUAAGGCUGCGAUUGGUGGUCGCGAUCCUGUCACAGCCCUACAACCAAGUCGCGAAUAAGCAUGUAGAAAGCUCAUUAGUUCCACGUUUGGACGAGGGUUCAAUCCCCUCCAGCUCCACUU